GCCUUUGUGGCGCAAUCGGCUAGCGCGUUCGGCUGUUAACCGAAAGGUUGGAGGUUCGAGCCCUCCCAGAGGCG
Non-coding RNA from Ixodes scapularis (black-legged tick), 74 nucleotides. NCBI's taxonomy places the organism in Eukaryota, Metazoa, Arthropoda, Arachnida, Ixodida, Ixodidae. The record is from Rfam.